UCAGUUCGUCCCGUCGGUACACGAAA
This 26-nucleotide small RNA is filed under the name Bombyx mori (domestic silkworm). RNAcentral describes it as "ovarian small RNA-25840". Lineage: Eukaryota; Metazoa; Arthropoda; Insecta; Lepidoptera; Bombycidae. The record is from RNAcentral.